GACGAACGCUGGCGGCGUGCUUAACACAUGCAAGUCGAGCGGUAAGGCCCUUUCGGGGGUACGACGAGCGGCGAACGGGUGAGUAACACGUGGGUGACCUGCCCUCAGCUCUGGGAUAAGCCUGGGAAACCGGGUCUAAUACCGGAUAUGACUCCAUGACGCAUGUUGUGGGGUGGAAAGCCUUGUGCGGCUGAGGAUGGGCCCGCGGCCUAUCAGCUUGUUGGUGGGGUGANGGCCUACCAAGGCGACGACGGGUAGCCGGCCUUGGCGGGUGAACGGCCAC
Molecule: ribosomal RNA, 283 nt
Filed under: uncultured bacterium
Lineage: Bacteria
Description: partial 16S ribosomal RNA
Rfam family: Bacterial small subunit ribosomal RNA
Source: RNAcentral